Molecule: ribosomal RNA, 253 nt
Filed under: uncultured bacterium
Lineage: Bacteria
Description: partial 16S ribosomal RNA
Rfam family: Bacterial small subunit ribosomal RNA
Source: RNAcentral
UACGAAGGGGGCUAGCGUUGUUCGGAAUUACUGGGCGUAAAGCGCACGUAGGCGGGUGGUUAAGUCAGGGGUGAAAUCCCGGAGCUCAACUCCGGAACUGCCUUCGAUACUGGGAAGCUCGAGUCCGGGAGAGGUGAGUGGAACUGCGAGUGUAGAGGUGAAAUUCGUAGAUAUUCGCAAGAACACCAGUGGCGAAGGCGGCUCACUGGCCCGGUACUGACGCUGAGGUGCGAAAGCGUGGGGAGCAAACAGG